GGCUCACUGAAGACGACAGCGGUAUAUCUGACAGAGGAAACGGUAGGAGCACGAAGUUUGUUUCUGUGCUACAUUUGUGUUUCCUUUUCAUGUGUGAGGAUGUAGCUCCGUCCGUCACUCCUGCUCGCUCAGCAGCACCAGAGUUUAUUCCCACGGUGCCCUGUCCAUAGUCAUCGCAGGGUAAGCGGCUGUGAUCUGGCUGCUAACUAUGAGGACAGAUUGAUGAUGUGGAAGCUCCUGCCCUAUGUGACUUUUGUCUUGGAUGUGGCCUCUCAGCAGUUAUGUGUCUCUCAACACAUCAACAUUUGAAACUACACCUAAUAAAGGAGCAAAUGGAGAAAGAGAAUCAAGACUGGAUGUGAUAGUGGCCUAUGCUCAAGUAGUUAUAAUAUUCGUUGCAGCAGUUUUAUUCUUUCUGUGGGGCCUGAAGGAAGCAAUCGAAGCUCCAAAAAUAAGGUGUUACAGAUCAACACCUGGACAGAUGUUCCUUUAUCAAGCUCCUCAAAGUAUCAACAUUUUGUAAAGUGCUUUUGCAAAGUAUGAAUUAAUUUAACUGACAAUUUAACUGCUGAUGAGAGCAGAUAUCUAACUGCAUUUAAACUCACUGAUGAUUUCAUGCAGAAUCUUGUCUUCAGAUUUAGCUCAGAGAGAAAAGGAAGAAAAGACUGAUUGUUGGAUAUGAAAGCUAUCCUCUUCUCUGAUCUGCUGCUCCGACUGCCUUAGUUUCAAUUGUCAGCAAACUCUUAAUUUUCCUUUAAUAUAUAUAUUUUUAGUAGAAUCUCUGCAUUUGAACAUGAGAAGAAACCUCAAUCAGCUUCACCGUGAGCACACACAGAAAUAAUCCAACCACUGUAAAGAGGACUUAUUGUUUUACUGUGUUUAAUAAAUGUCAAC
Molecule: long non-coding RNA, 894 nt
Organism: Oreochromis niloticus (Nile tilapia)
Lineage: Eukaryota; Metazoa; Chordata; Actinopteri; Cichliformes; Cichlidae
Exons: 5
Source: RefSeq, a predicted model, not a curated record